CCGGCGCACGGGGUGAGUAACACGUAUGGAACCUGCCCUAUGGCAGGGGGAUAAGCGGAAGAAAUUCCGUCUAAUACCGCAUAACACCUUUAGGAGACAUCUUCUUGGGGGUCAAAGGAGGCGACUCCGGCAUAGGAUGGCCAUGCGUCGCAUUAGCUAGUCGGCGGGGUAACGGCCCACCGAGGCGACGAUGCGUAGGGGUUCUGAGAGGAAGGUCCCCCACACUGGUACUGAGACACGGACCAGACUCCUACGGAAGGCAGCAG
RNAcentral lists this ribosomal RNA (266 nucleotides) under uncultured bacterium. RNAcentral's name for it is "partial 16S ribosomal RNA". It matches the Rfam family "Bacterial small subunit ribosomal RNA", at positions 95 to 354 of the family's 1533-position model. The record is from RNAcentral.